This is a long non-coding RNA of Cervus elaphus (red deer), 244 nucleotides long. RefSeq lists it as uncharacterized. Lineage: Eukaryota; Metazoa; Chordata; Mammalia; Artiodactyla; Cervidae. The transcript has 3 exons. The record is from RefSeq and is a predicted model, not a curated record.
CAAAAAUAAACUUGAGACUUAGCCCCGAGCUUUGUCUCACUCUCUCAUUCGCCAACGCCGUUCAUCCUGAGGGUUCCCCUGGAUCCUGCUGGGGCUGGACCCCGGCAAGUGGCACCUGAACAGGGACCCAAAGAAAAACUAAAGAAGUUUGGGACUGCUGAUGAAUAAAAGGAAUGCCUCAGAGUCCUGAAUACAUUUUCCUGCUAACCUGUGUCUCCCAAACUUAACUGGGCUUACUUAUCCA